GGAAACAUAGUUGAGCCCUGACAACAUCCAACAGAGAGCAAUUUGGAAAAUAAACACAAUGAAAAUGGGGAAACUGUAACUACUUGUUGGUGCAAAGACAUUGUUAAGCCCUGACAGCAUUUAACUGAAGACAAAAAAGAGGAAAUAAAGAAACAACAAAAAUGGUGUGCGACAUCUUAAGACCUCAAAAUCAGACCACAGUCCAGCUGAAGGGAUUAUCCAUCGCAGAAAUCAUCAUCA
Molecule: long non-coding RNA, 240 nt
Organism: Triplophysa rosa
Lineage: Eukaryota; Metazoa; Chordata; Actinopteri; Cypriniformes; Nemacheilidae
Exons: 3
Source: RefSeq, a predicted model, not a curated record